Molecule: ribosomal RNA, 465 nt
Filed under: uncultured bacterium
Lineage: Bacteria
Description: partial 16S ribosomal RNA
Rfam family: Bacterial small subunit ribosomal RNA
Source: RNAcentral
GACGAACGCUGGCGGCGUGCUUAACACAUGCAAGUCGAACGGAAAGGCCCUGCUUUUGUGGGGUGCUCGAGUGGCGAACGGGUGAGUAACACGUGAGUAACCUGCCCUUGACUUUGGGAUAACUUCAGGAAACUGGGGCUAAUACCGGAUAGGAGCUCCUGCUGCAUGGUGGGGGUUGGAAAGUUUCGGCGGUUGGGGAUGGACUCGCGGCUUAUCAGCUUGUUGGUGGGGUAGUGGCUUACCAAGGCUUUGACGGGUAGCCGGCCUGAGAGGGUGACCGGCCACAUUGGGACUGGGAUACGGCCAAGACUCCUACGGGAGGCAGCAGUGGGGAAUAUUGCACAAUGGGCGGAAGCCUGAUGCAGCAACGCCGCGUGCGGGAUGACGGCCUUCGGGUUGUAAACCGCUUUCGCCUGUGACGAAGCGUGAGUGACGGUAAUGGGUAAAGAAGCACCGGCUAACUAC